This 331-nucleotide ribosomal RNA is filed under the name uncultured eukaryote. RNAcentral's name for it is "partial 18S ribosomal RNA". It matches the Rfam family "Eukaryotic small subunit ribosomal RNA", at positions 1470 to 1796 of the family's 1831-position model. The record is from RNAcentral.
CCCUUAGAUGUUCUGGGCCGCACGCGCGCUACACUGACGAAGUCAGCGAGCAUGUCCUACGCCGACAGGUACGGGGAAUCUUGUCAAACUUCGUCGUGAUGGGGAUUGAUUAUUGAAAUUCUUGAUCAUCAACGAGGAAUUCCUAGUAAGCGCAAGUCAGCAGCUUGCGUUGAUUACGUCCCUGCCCUUUGUACACACCGCCCGUCGCUACUACCGAUUGAAUGGUUUAGUGAGAUCUUCGGAUUGGCGCCACUGCGGCUCAGCAAUGGGCUCGGUGGAUGCCGAAAAGUUGAUCAAACUUGAUCAUUUAGAGGAAGUAAAAGUCGUAACA